UUUAAAUAACUGUGAUGAAAAUCGCUCAGACUUUACUACUUUAUAAUUUAAUUAAUUUGACCCUUUCCCAGACCAUUUUGAUUAAGUUUUAUAUAACUGAUAUUCAUUUACCACAACUUUUAUUUGGGUCUUUAUUUCGCGGAAUCAUUUAGGUGGGCGUCGUCUCGUCCGGUGACGCCACACGUAUCCUUGUGUGGCGUCACUGGCUUUCGUCUAGGACACUUCUCUAGAGACUUAUUUUACGAACGAUUUCAAAUUUCAGAUAAACUCCAAAUAAAAGAUUAAUUUUUUCUGGACCCAAAGGAGUUUCUGCCAACAGGUCAAAUCCGAAUCGGUGUUAGCACCCAUGGAGAAUUGGUCGCACAGAUAGCAAUCUGCGCGAGCAAUUCCCCAUGGGAGCUUGCACGGGUUCGGGAUUUGGCCAGCUUAAAAGA
Centruroides sculpturatus (bark scorpion) is the source of this 434-nucleotide long non-coding RNA. RefSeq lists it as uncharacterized. The record is from RefSeq and is a predicted model, not a curated record. The transcript is spliced from 2 exons. Lineage: Eukaryota; Metazoa; Arthropoda; Arachnida; Scorpiones; Buthidae.